UACAGAGGUCCCAAGCGUUGUUCGGAUUCACUGGGCGUAAAGGGUGCGUAGGCGGUGAGGUAAGUUUGACGUGAAAUCUCCGGGCUCAACCCGGAACUGCGUUGAAUACUAUCUCGCUAGAGGAAUGGAGGGGAGACUGGAAUACUUGGUGUAGCAGUGAAAUGACGUAGAUAUCAAGUGGAACACCAGUGGCGAAGGCGAGUCUCUGGACAUUUCCUGACGCUGAGGCACGAAAGCCAGGGGAGCAAACGGG
RNAcentral lists this ribosomal RNA (253 nucleotides) under uncultured bacterium. RNAcentral describes it as "partial 16S ribosomal RNA". It matches the Rfam family "Bacterial small subunit ribosomal RNA", at positions 524 to 776 of the family's 1533-position model. The record is from RNAcentral.